RNAcentral lists this ribosomal RNA (253 nucleotides) under uncultured bacterium. RNAcentral describes it as "partial 16S ribosomal RNA". It matches the Rfam family "Bacterial small subunit ribosomal RNA", at positions 524 to 776 of the family's 1533-position model. The record is from RNAcentral.
AACGUAGGUACCGAGCGUUAUCCGGAUUUACUGGGCGUAAAGCGCGUUCAGGCGGUUUGGCAAGUCGGGCAUGAAAUCUCUCGGCUCAACCGGGAGAGGUUGUCCGAUACUUCCAGACUUGAGGGCAGUAGAGGGUGGUGGAAUUCCGGGUGUAGUGGUGAAAUGCGUAGAUAUCUGGAGGAACACCGGUGGCGAAGGCGGCAUCCUGGACCGACACUGACGCUGAGGAGCGAAAGCCAGGGGAGCAAACGGG